ACUCAACAAUUACACAUUUGAGAAGGGUGAGUUUAAGCUGUAAAAGCAAGCCGUCUUAGAACGGAUCCUUGAUCAGUUUGUUAACCCUAAACCUGUCAUUAGGGGUUU
This 108-nucleotide small RNA is filed under the name Mesonia sp. K7. RNAcentral describes it as "6S-Flavo RNA". It matches the Rfam family "6S-Flavo RNA". Lineage: Bacteria; Pseudomonadati; Bacteroidota; Flavobacteriia; Flavobacteriales; Flavobacteriaceae. The record is from Rfam by way of RNAcentral.